GUUGAAACACAAGUUCCCGUACGAUCAUCGAAGUUAAGCAACGUCGAGCCUGAUCAGUACCUAGAUGGGUGACCGCUUGGGAAUGCCAGGUACAGU
RNAcentral lists this ribosomal RNA (96 nucleotides) under Acanthosepion pharaonis. Lineage: Eukaryota; Metazoa; Mollusca; Cephalopoda; Sepiida; Sepiidae. The record is from RNAcentral.